GGCUGCGGCGUCUGGGCAGCGCGAGGGCCUCAGUCCGCGGAGCCGGUGAGUGCGCCCGGGAGAGGCGGCCUGGGCAGUCCCAGGGCAGGGCCGCCCACCGCUGUGUGCGCCGCGCCCGGGGCUAGGAGCCCGCUCGCUGGUCCCCGAGCCCCAGCGUCUCUUCGCCGACCGCUCCCAAGUUCUCGACGCGGUGGGUUGGCCUUUAUCACACAGCGGGUCUGCGAUGCUCCCCGCGCAGCCCCGCGGUCUGCAGGGCACGCCACGCGCCGCUUGUCUGCUUGGACUGAGAUGACAGCUGAUGUCAGUUCCUGAGAAGGAAGGGGAAACUGAUGCCGCCGAACGUUGUUUUGCUGGAAUCUAUUAUAUUGCAUGCUUGAAAAUAGUCUGAUAUAAAGCAUAAUGAAACUGGAUGUCCAAAAACACUCCUUAAAUCGUCGGUAAAUGUACUAGUGGAACUAAAGCAUUUACUAGACUACAUGAUGUCACUCUAAAGACUACUUGCUCGUGCACUGCCACUCUGUUACCAUAGCCUUAAGUGCCUUGCUGCACAGUUCCCUGUCACUGUAACUACUGUACUGACAGGUCUUCACCUUCUCCCACCAUCAGAAUGGCAUUGAUAGGGAUGACUCCAAAGGCUGUUCCCGAACGGGGAUGACUGCUCAGGCCCAGAGUUCCGCUAGAUGAUUUGUACCUUUCCACCUUUGCUCUAUACACUAAAUAUGUUAUGUGUGCUUUUAAAUCUUAGAAAACAAAAAAAGCGUGCCAGGCCCAUGGAAGAUAGGAAGCCUGGAAAACUUACAGAUUGGAAGGGACUAAGGAAAAAUAGCUAAAUGCAAUUUAGGAUCCUAUAUCAGAGAAAGAGUGUUACUGAAAAAUUACAAGAUGUGACUAAUUUGGGUUAAUCGCACCGAUGUGCAUGUCCUGGUUUUGAUAAUUGUACCAUGGUUAUAUGAAAUAUUAACAUUCGGUAAGCAGGGUGAAUGGCAUACAGGAAUUAAGCAUGUACUUCUUUUGCAACUUUUCUAUAAUUCUAAAAUUAGUGUAAAUUUAAAUAUUUUAAUAGAAAAGUAAACACUAGAAACCUUUUGUUUACUCAUUUAUUAAAUAUUUAUUUAGUCCCUACUAACUGCUGGGCCCUGGGCAUUGAAAAUAGAAAGGUAAAAAAUCAGACUGUAUUCCUGACUUCAUGAAGAUGUUUGAAGAUGGCUUGCUGAAUGGAUAAUUACAGCGAUAAAAACUGCCACUUGAAAAACUGGUAAUUGAGGGAUCUCACCUGGUCUGUGAUAUCAGAAUCUUUCCUGAUUUAAUCUGAGACUUGAAAAAUGAGUAGAUGGCAUAAAAAUAUUUUCAAACUAAACAUAUGAGGUUUUAUCUGGGGUUCACAAUGGACAUUAAAUCUUCCUAUCAAGAUUUAUAGCAAAAAAAAAAAAUAUUUAACUUUGUUGAAGCCAGCAUUUUCCAAAUUUGAUAUGCUCUCUUUUUGUGAGUAACAGGCAGUGAGAUACUAUUUAACACACUUUAGAAACGUCACCUCAGUAAUCUCGGGAGUCCUUUUCUUAUGUAUAAAGGAGAAAUCCUGUUCUGCCUAACAGUUAUUGGGGUUUUUUGGUAUGAGAUGCAUGGCUUUGAGGUGACUGGGUCUGAAACUUAAGGGUAUUUUUAUUAAGUUCUCUCUGGCUUUUCUGACAGUGGGAUUUUUUCAGAGCUGUGAAAUUUGAAUCUAGCCCCUAAAGUGUUUUGUGAAAUGUUAAUCUUAACACCCCCCUAUCCCAGGCAGUGAAUGGCUACCUUAUUUAAUAGAGCCAUUCUACUAGAAUUGCAUUUUUCUCUCUUUUAAAAAAAAAAUGUUUUCUUCAUGAUUAUUAGCAAAUGAGUGCAUUUCACUCUGUGGCUGUAAUGCCUGUUUUUCCCCCUUAAGGGGAAGAAACUGUUCUUUGUGAAAGAGCAGGACAAGGAAGAGGCAAAGGUAGGACUGAGGCUGAAUAUCUUAAGAGUCGGAUCAUCUGUACCUCCCUGCUUUUUGUAAUGUGCAAAUUGGAAAUUCUGAGUGUGCUUUUGAUUCUUAAAGAUUGCCACACCUAGCUGUGCUCUGUCUUUAUGAAUGAAGAGUUUGCACUUCUCUUUUCAGACUCCUUACGUCUUUAGCUAAGACUUCUGAGUUUCUUCUGUGACUUUGAUGGGUGUUGUAGGUGCUUGACCUGCAACUGUAUCUUACAAGAUCCUACCAAGGGACAGAUAUGAGUCUCAUAGCAAAGUCCCCACAUAUGGUUGAGUAAUAACUAUCUUCAGGAGCCUCUGCAUCUAGCUCUGCAUGAACAAGGCAAGAUCCCAAGGGUGGAUGUUGCUAAGAAUCAAAAAUCAUUGGCUCCUGAUUCUCAGCCACCUCAGAGUGGCGUUACUCAUACGUAAUGUCCCUAAAAUCACUUUUAAAGACAGGCUAGGAUACUGAAACUGCUGGCACUGGUGCAUCUCCUGACUGGAGAGGCUAUUCCAGAAGAGUCAUCACCCAGGAGCUGCAAAUAGGUGCAGUAGUAGCUCUGGUGAGAAUGGAACACAGAUACCUGAAGGAAGGAGAGUACAACCUCCCUUGUGUACUCAGAGGCCUCCUGAGAGCAGAGGAGCAGGUCUCUGUAGUUUGGGCUGAAUUUAACACUUGGGGAGAUCAAGAUAAGACAAGUCCUCAAUGUGUGUUUUCUGCCAUCACCUCAUCUAUUUUACAUCCACAGUUAGAAUCACUUGGCACUGUCAGAAUUUUGAGUGCUGUUGCCUAUCGUCAAGGAUGCAAAUAACAGUAAUUGCUGGCAAGGAUGUGGGGAAAAGGGUACAGAGGAGAGGAAAAGGGAAGGUACUAGGGAAUGAGACUGAUCAAGUUAUGAUAUACACAUGCACAAAUAUGACAUAAUAAACCCCACUAAUUUGUAUAAUUAUAAUGCAUCAAUAAACAAAUAAGAUUUUUAAAAAACUGCUGCCCAGGCCUCCUGCAUACCAGUGGGUUUCUGGAUCUGUGAGAGCAGGAGCUGGGCACUGGCAUCCUGUUAAAUGUCUCCAAGUGUGUGGUUGGGGUCAAGAACCACUGAGCUCCCCACCUGCCACACAAGAAUGCCAGCCUCCAUCCUUUCCCUCCUUCCCAGUGGCUGUAUGCCAGAGGAAGGAAGUCCUGUGUCGAGUUCCCCAGGGUCAUGGAGGAGCAGGGAUACCAGGGUCCAGCUGUUGUUGAGGUCCUCUCUAUGAGCUGUCUGCCAUCCCAACACAAAGGCCCCAAGGUUUAAAUUUAGCCCCAGUAUUAUAUAUUAACAGGGUGGUUCUACUCUUUUCCCAGUGAUGCCCUCUCUGAAGGCUGUGCUUUCCCAAGAGGGGUGUGGGGAGGAGGAAGUGAACUAUGGAUCACAGACAGUCAGGUCCCAGGUAAGUCCCAUUUCCUCUCCUCUCAAAUGCUGUUAUAGUUCUCAUUGAUCAUUCCUUUCUCUGUGGCUGGAACAUUCUCUUCUGGGCUGCAGUGGUAGAGCACUUGCCUAGCAUGCACGUCCGGAGUCAGUGCCCAGCACCAUAAAGUCUUUACCUCUGUUUUGAAAUGUACAGUGUUAACUGUAUCCAUCCCAUGGUCCAGUGGAACACCAGAAUUCCUUCCUCCCGUUUACUGUGACAGCACUCAUGACCCAGUCCUCCCAUCUGCCCCUCCCCUCUCCGCCUCUAGUAACCACUGUUCCCUGUGCAGUCAGCUUUUAUAUGUUGAUCAAAAAUGAAACAACACUUUAAAAAAAUAAUGAGGAAGCUGUGUCCUGUUAGGUCUGAGAGGGAAAGAUCUCCGAGUCCGUUAUUAAAUUAAAAAUAGUGUUUAAAAUAUGUUACUUUAGAAUUAAAAAAAAAAAACAGGAAAUAAUCUAUAUUCACAUUUGCUUAAAGAAAAAUUCUGGAAAGAUACAUUGGAAACUAAGAACAAUUCUGAUCUAUUGGGAAGUAGAAGCUGGCCAAAGAGAGAGAAAUCUGAAAAAAAGACCCUGCUUUAUUAUGUAUUUUUUAUAUUUUUGUUACUAUGCCGUAAUAAUAUAUUACCUACCCAAAGAUAAAAUUCAUUAAGGAUUUGGAAGAAAGAAGAACUGGCUCACCAGAUGUAGGGUUGCCAGUAGAAGGUGUGAAAGGGAGGAAAAGCUAGAAGCAGGGUACUGACCCCAACAGCCACAGUGGAGCUCAGCACACCAGAGGCCCUGAGCCCAAACUCUAAGACCAAAAAAUAAAAAUACAUAGUGUAGGCCUGGGUCCCUUGUGGACACAGCUUCUGGUGCUGCCUCAGAGAAAGGCUGGCGAGGGAAGCACCCAGAAGGAAAGAAGGCAUCUGUGUGGUGUGACGGGAGCACAAGCUCUGGAACAGGCGCUAAGGAGGAAUCUGCCAAUUUAUGUCCUUGGAUGAAUUGUUUGAUUACUUCUAGCCUCAGUAAGUCAUUGAAUUGAAAUAUACUUUAGAAAGAUGAAUCAUCAAGACAUGAAAAUUAAAUAAAAUCACAGUCAUAUAGCUAACUUGUGGGAGAUGCAUUUGUUUGUACCCUAAAGUGGGGAGCAUUGCAGGUGGAAGGAGGGAUAGAUCUCUGUAUUAGGAGGGGGUUACCAGUGUCUGGCAAAAGAUGGCUUACAAAACAUUGGUGCUGGAGGAAUUUGGAGGUUGCCCUUUGUAUUUUAAAUCCCUGCCUGAAAGGAGUCAAUUUCUUUUACCAACCCCAACUUGGAUCCAUGACUUCUACCCCCACUUUGUCUGCCUUUGUUGCUUUUUUUUUU
RNAcentral lists this long non-coding RNA (4770 nucleotides) under Marmota monax (woodchuck). Lineage: Eukaryota; Metazoa; Chordata; Mammalia; Rodentia; Sciuridae. The record is from RNAcentral.